This 301-nucleotide ribosomal RNA is filed under the name uncultured bacterium. RNAcentral describes it as "partial 16S ribosomal RNA". It matches the Rfam family "Bacterial small subunit ribosomal RNA", at positions 509 to 809 of the family's 1533-position model. The record is from RNAcentral.
CAGCAGCCGCGGGAAUACGGAGGGUGCAAGCGUUGUCCGGAUUUAUUGGGUUUAAAGGGUGCGUAGGCGGCUAUUUAAGUCAGCGGUGAAAGACUCCGGCUCAACCGGAGCAGUGCCAUUGAUACUGGAUAGCUUGAGUGUUGGAGGGGUACAUGGAAUUGAUGGUGUAGCGGUGAAAUGCAUAGAUACCAUCAGGAACACCGAUAGCGAAGGCAUUGUACUGGCCAACAACUGACGCUGAGGCACGAAAGCAUGGGGAGCGAACAGGAUUAGAUACCCCGGUAGUCCCUGUCUCUUAUAA